This 253-nucleotide ribosomal RNA is filed under the name uncultured bacterium. RNAcentral's name for it is "partial 16S ribosomal RNA". It matches the Rfam family "Bacterial small subunit ribosomal RNA", at positions 524 to 776 of the family's 1533-position model. The record is from RNAcentral.
UACGUAGGGUGCGAGCGUUAAUCGGAAUUACUGGGCGUAAAGCGCACGUAGGCGGCUUUUUAAGUCAGGGGUGAAAUCCUGGAGCUCAACUCCAGAACUGCCUUUGAUACUGGGAAGCUUGAGUCCGGGAGAGGUGAGUGGAACUCCGAGUGUAGAGGUGAAAUUCGUAGAUAUUCGGAAGAACACCAGUGGCGAAGGCGGCUCACUGGCCCGGUACUGACGCUGAGGUGCGAAAGCGUGGGGAGCAAACAGG